GACGAACGCUGGCGGCGUGCCUAAUACAUGCAAGUAGAACGCUGAAGGAGGAGCUUGCUUCUCUGGAUGAGUUGCGAACGGGUGAGUAACGCGUAGGUAACCUGCCUGGUAGCGGGGGAUAACUAUUGGAAACGAUAGCUAAUACCGCAUAAUAGUAGAUGUUGCAUGACAUUUGCUUAAAAGGUGCAAUUGCAUCACUACCAGAUGGACCUGCGUUGUAUUAGCUAGUUGGUGAGGUAACGGCUCACCAAGGCGACGAUACAUAGCCGACCUGAGAGGGUGAUCGGCCACACUGGGACUGAGACACGGCCCAGACUCCUACGGGAGGCAGCAGUAGGGAAUCUUCGGCAAUGGACGGAAGUCUGACCGAGCAACGCCGCGUGAGUGAAGAAGGUUUUCGGAUCGUAAAGCUUUGUUGUAAGAGAAGAGCGAGUGUGAGAGUGGAAAGUUCACACUGUGACGGUAUCUUACCAGAAAGGGACGGCUAACUACGUG
This 495-nucleotide ribosomal RNA is filed under the name uncultured bacterium. RNAcentral's name for it is "partial 16S ribosomal RNA". It matches the Rfam family "Bacterial small subunit ribosomal RNA", at positions 28 to 507 of the family's 1533-position model. The record is from RNAcentral.